Biomphalaria pfeifferi is the source of this 284-nucleotide non-coding RNA. NCBI's taxonomy places the organism in Eukaryota, Metazoa, Mollusca, Gastropoda, Planorbidae. The record is from the annotation of a GenBank genome assembly.
UUAUUGUUUAAAUUCCAAACCAUAUGGUUUAUUUAGGGACAAAAAUAAUAUCAAAGAAUAUAUGUUUAAUGUACACAACUUAUUGUUUAAAAUAUAAUAAACUGUUUAUUUAUAAUUCUUUUUUUUACCAUAUGAGAUUCCAUAAAACCCUCACCCAGUCUCUAGCUUCGUUCUUCUAGCACAGCGUCAAUCUUACUUAUCUAAAGAUUAGUUCUCGAUGCAUCCUUCGUAUUCAUCCCCUUGAGCAUAACUUUCGCCAUCUGGACAACAGCCGUAUCUUGUAC